Long non-coding RNA from Anneissia japonica, 511 nucleotides. RefSeq lists it as uncharacterized. The record is from RefSeq and is a predicted model, not a curated record. The transcript is spliced from 3 exons. NCBI's taxonomy places the organism in Eukaryota, Metazoa, Echinodermata, Crinoidea, Comatulida, Comatulidae.
AAAACUAGGCCUAGGCCUAAAUUGCAAUGGAAUCCUAGAAAGAAAACAUCAACUCUACUAAAAGGCACAUUGAAAGCAGGACAAGAAUGCAAAUUAUGGGAAUUCACAUGAUGAAGACCAUCCCCGUCACAGGAAUUCACAUGAAGACUGUUAUUUUCAACUAUUACUGUUUGUAUAGGAAGGAGGCCAAAAUUGAAAACGAAGUUGAUGAAUAUAAUCAAGGCCUAUAUUAACGCCGUGGCUAGAGAUACGGUACCGUAUCGGAACUUCCGAUUGCUAAAGAUAGAAUAAUGAGUGAAGGCCAAGAUAGUAAAGAUGAUGAGACACAUAAACAAAGGGCCAUUGCUCCUGUGGCCCCAAAAGUGUUCCUGCAAGAGGAGGGUCAAGUUGAAGUGUCCGCAAGUCCUGCCUUCCAGUGUCUUGAUGAGCUUUUUCAACAAGGGAAGCUAACAGGAACCAAGGUGGCACAACUGAAGGCAAGGUACACAGAGCUCCACAGACGGCUUGCCUC